RNAcentral lists this non-coding RNA (773 nucleotides) under Limenitis lorquini. Lineage: Eukaryota; Metazoa; Arthropoda; Insecta; Lepidoptera; Nymphalidae. The record is from RNAcentral.
GAUAAAUUUUUUAUAUUUUUUAUAAUUUAUUAUAAAUUUAUUUUACAUGUAAAUUUUAGUAUUAAAUUUUGAUUAUUUUAAUAAUAAUUAAUUAAAUUUUACAGUAAUUAAAAUUAAAAAUUUAAGAAAUUAAGAUUUAGUAAUAUUUAAAUUAAUAACUAAUUUUGUGCCAGCAGUUGCGGUUAAACAAAAAUUAAAUUAAAUUAUUUCAGUAUAUAAUAAAUAAUUAUAGUUAAAUUAAAUAUUAAAUUAUUAAGUGAAAUUUUAAUUUAAUUAAAAAUUAUAAUAAAAUUAUGAUUUAAUAAAUUUUAUUAUAAACUAGGAUUAGAUACCCUAUUAUUAAAAAUUUAAUUAAAAAUACUAAAAUAGUAAAUAAUAUAUUAUUGAAACUUAAAUAAUAUGGCGGUAUUUUAGUUCAUUUAGAGGAAUCUGUCUAAUAAUUGAUAAUCCACGAAUAAAUUUACUUAAUUUAUAAUUUUGUAUAUCAUUGUUAAAAAAAUAUUUUUAAAUAAAAAUAAUAUUUUAAAAUUUAAAAUAAAAUUUAAUUCAGAUCAAGAUGCAGUUUAUAAUUAAGUUUAAGAUGGAUUACAAUAAAUUUAUUUAAACGAAAAGAAUUUUGUAAAAUUUAAUUGAAGGUGGAUUUAAAUGUAAUUUUAAUUAAUUUAUUAAAAUGAUUAAAAAUUGAAAUAUGUACAUAUUGCCCGUCACUUUCAUUUAAAAAUUGAAAUAAGUCGUAACAAAGUAGAGGUACUGGAAAGUGUUUCUAGAAUGAA